CGCGUCACUUCCAGGAGCGCGGGGUCCAGCGCUUCGGCGUCGGGGCGUUAGGGAUUGGCGGGCUCUGGCAAACUGAGCAUAUAGAUGGGGACACAUAGAGACAUUACUUUGCCAACAAAGGUCCGUCUAGUCAAGGCUAUGGUUUUUCCAGUGGUCAUGUAUGGAUGUGAGAGUUGGACUAUAAAGAAAGCUGAGCGCUGAAGAAUUGAUGCUUUUGAACUGUGGUGUUGGAGAAGAGUCUUGAGAGUCCCUUGGACUGCAAAGAGAUCCAACCAGUCCAUCCUAAAGGAGAUCAGUCCUGGGUGUUCAUUGGAGGGACUGAUGUUGAAGCUGAAACUCCAAUACUUUGGCCACCUGAUGCGAAGAGCUGACUCACUGGAAAAGACCCUGAUGCUGGGAAAGAUUGAGGGCAGGAGGAGAAGGGGAUGACAGAGGAUGAGAUGACUGGAUGGCAUCACUAACUCAAUGGACAUGGGUUGGGGUGGACUCCGGGAGUUGGUGAUGGACAGGGAGGCCUGGGGUGCUGUGGUUCACGGGGUUGCAAAGAGUCGGACACAACUGAGUGACUGAACUGAUACUGAUAGACGGGGGAAAAUGUUAAAACAAUACCCACAAAGUAGUCCCUUAUUUUACUCCAUUUCCUCCUUUGGAGAUAAUUCAUAUUUUUAAAACACAUGCCAGAAAACAAAACAACAACCUUCCAGACAAAAUUAACUUUCUCAUUGGAUGGUAGAUAAACAGUAGAGAAUCCAGAAUCAUUGUAUUCCAUACCAGAAUUCUACAAACUGUCAUUUGCUAAACUCCAGUAGUUUCUCCCCCAUACACAUACACAACUAAUGGCUUUCUUUCCCAAAAGGUAGCUUACACCUUACUGAUACCUGUCUUGAAAUUCAUUUCCAAAACUGGUAGUACAGCCAUAUUUGCUAGCAAAUUCUUUAGAGUAAUGGAAUAAAGAGGUAGAAACUGGCAAUUCCAUCAUAUAUAACCAAACAAGUAUGUUUACUAUUUUUUGCCCAAAUAAUCCAGUGUAACAAUUCCUUUCCCUAAAUGAAGACUUUUAUAACUAAACAAAAUAGAGCAAGUCAAAUCUAUGAUCCAUACUUAUAUAAAAAAUUAAGAUUAAUUUUUUAAUUACUUUCUGAGUGGUAGUAAAAAUUUUACCUACUCAAAGUACUUCACAAAAGUGGAGAGUCAUACGUGACUUACAUGUGUCUGACUGGCUGGCCUGUUAGUAAUAACUUAGUAAUAACGCCCCCAGGCCCACCCAUGCUGCAGCCUGUGUUGGAACACCCUCCUUUCUAAGCUGAGUGACGUGCCCUUUUAUGUACACACCCUGUUUGUCUGCUCCUGCUUCCACGUGUUGGGUGCUGUGAACAUUGGUUCUUCAAGGUCUGUUUUCAGCUUUUAAGGGUGUAUACUCAGAUGUGGAACUGCUGGAUCAUGAUUAUUCUAUUUUUAUUAUUAUUUUUGUUUUUGAAGAAAUGCCAUUAAGUUUUCCACAGCAGCUGCACAAUUUUACAUUCCUACCAACAAUGCAGAAAGUGUUCCAAAGCUCUACAUCCUCACCAGCAUUUGUUAUUUUCUGGUUUUUUUUUUUUUUUUUUUUUUUAAACAGCCAUCGAGACAGCUGUGAGGUAUUAUCUCACUGUAACUUUGAUUUGCAUUUCCCUAAUGAUUAGUGACGUUGAGCUUCUUUUCAUGUGUUUGUUGGCCAUUUGUUCAUCUUUGGAGAAAUGCCUGCUUUAAGUUCUUUGCUGAUUUUUUAGUCAGGUUCUUUUGUUUAUUGUUGAGUUGUAGGAGUUCUUAAUAUAUUAUGGAUAGUAAGCCCUUUAUCAGAUUUAUGAUGUACAAUUUCUUACCCCCAAUCUGUAGGUUGCCUACCUAGAGUUUUUUAAUGUAAAAUGGUCUUACAUCUGGGCUUCCCUGGUUGCUCAGACAGUAAAGUAU
Molecule: long non-coding RNA, 1947 nt
Organism: Dama dama (fallow deer)
Lineage: Eukaryota; Metazoa; Chordata; Mammalia; Artiodactyla; Cervidae
Exons: 2
Source: RefSeq, a predicted model, not a curated record